Molecule: ribosomal RNA, 251 nt
Filed under: uncultured Fusibacter sp.
Lineage: Bacteria; Bacillati; Bacillota; Clostridia; Eubacteriales; Fusibacteraceae
Description: partial 16S ribosomal RNA
Rfam family: Bacterial small subunit ribosomal RNA
Source: RNAcentral
GUGCACUCUAGACAGACUGCCGUGGACAACACGGAGGAAGGUGGGGGAGUGACGUCAAAUCAUCAUGCCCCUUAUGAUCUGGGCUACACACGUGCUACAAUGGCCGGUACAACGGGCAGCGAAGGAGCGAUCCGGAGCGAAUCCUAAAAGCCGGUCCCAGUUCGGAUUGCAGGCUGAAACUCGCCUACAUGAAGUUGGAGUUGCUGGUAAUCGCGAAUCAGAAUGUCGCGGUGAAUGUGUUCCCGGGUCUU